Molecule: long non-coding RNA, 812 nt
Filed under: Malus domestica (apple)
Lineage: Eukaryota; Viridiplantae; Streptophyta; Magnoliopsida; Rosales; Rosaceae
Description: long non-coding RNA (MDOM_LNC019341)
Source: RNAcentral
GAUCUUAACGGACUGUCAAUGCCUAAUGGGCAAUCCUAUGAUCAGGAACGUUUAGGAUAUGUAUACGAAAGAGAAUGGUCUCAUGAAUCUAACUUCUUUAAAUUACAUUCUCCUAAUUACAUAUUCCUUGGACCUAUCGUUUAAGCAUAUAACAUUUAUAUGAGAUGGCUUAAAACAAUAAUAUUUUCCCUUUAUAUUAAACUAGAUUAGUUUAACAUGUGAAAUGUCUGUAAAGUAUCAUCAUAUCAUUGGUUUUAGGGCACUUUUCCAACAGGGUUCAACCCGACGACAUGAUCUGUGAAUGGGUUUUUGAUUUUAAAUAGUAUAUAUAUUUAUUUAGUUUCCAUUUAUACAUUUGAAAAAGAAUUUCCUACAUAUGCCUAGAUUAUAAUAACGUUUAUAGAUAUUAGCGAAAUAAUGGAAUUUACGAAAUUAUCCAAAAUCCUAUGAGAUGCACAAGUAUGCGUACUUUUAUGGGAUUUUAAUUACAAGUGUUUGUACCAUACUUGACCAAUCUCGAAACUACUAAGCAUCGAUCAAUGUUAUACCGUCAAGGACCCAUAAGAGUUUCCCUACAACCAGGAGGCCAAUCACAGCGCGACACGUGUCGACAUCAGAAGCCAAUCAUAGCGCGACAUGUGUCAACAUCAGAAGCCAAUCACAACACGGCACAUGUCAAUGUCAGAAUGAAACUAGAAACUCUCUUCUAUAAAUAGAGAUCAUUCUCUCACAAUAUUUCCUAAUGUCAUUUGUACUAAAUCACUCACUAGUACUCACUAAAGGAGAGCUUGAACCUAUGUACUUGUGUAAAC